GGGUGCGAUCAUACCAGCACUAAUGCACCGGAUUCCAUCAGAACUCCGAAGUUAAGCGUGCUUGGACGAUGUAUAAUAGUUUUGCACAUA
Ribosomal RNA from Cephalotus follicularis, 90 nucleotides. NCBI's taxonomy places the organism in Eukaryota, Viridiplantae, Streptophyta, Magnoliopsida, Oxalidales, Cephalotaceae. The record is from Rfam.